UACAUAGGGAGCAAGCGUUAUCCGGAUUUAUUGGGUGUAAAGGGUGCGUAGACGGGAAAUUAAGUUAGUUGUGAAAUCCCUCGGCUUAACUGAGGAACUGCAACUAAAACUGAUUUUCUUGAGUACUGAAGAGGAAAGUGGAAUUCCUAGUGUAGCGGUGAAAUGCGUAGAUAUCAGGAGGAACACCGGCGGCGAAGGCGGCUUACUGGACUGUAACUGACGUUGAGGCUCGAAGGCGUGGGGAGCAAACAGG
This 253-nucleotide ribosomal RNA is filed under the name uncultured Eubacteriales bacterium. Its description in RNAcentral is "uncultured Clostridiales bacterium partial 16S ribosomal RNA". It matches the Rfam family "Bacterial small subunit ribosomal RNA", at positions 524 to 776 of the family's 1533-position model. Lineage: Bacteria; Bacillati; Bacillota; Clostridia; Eubacteriales. The record is from RNAcentral.